RNAcentral lists this ribosomal RNA (468 nucleotides) under uncultured bacterium. RNAcentral's name for it is "partial 16S ribosomal RNA". It matches the Rfam family "Bacterial small subunit ribosomal RNA", at positions 28 to 507 of the family's 1533-position model. The record is from RNAcentral.
GACGAACGCUGGCGGCGUGCUUAACACAUGCAAGUCGAACGGACAGGCCCUGCUUUUGUUGCGUGCUCGAGUGGCGAACGGGUGAGUAAAACGUGAGUAACCUGCCCUUGACUUUGUGAUAACUUCAGGAAACUGGGGCUCAUACAGGGUAGGAGCUCCUGCUGCGUAGGGGGGGAUGGAAAGUUUCGGCGGUUGGGGAUGGUCUCGCGGCUUAUCGGCUUGUUGGGGGGGUAGUGGCUUACCAAGGCUGUGACGGGUAGCCGGCCUGAGAGGGUGACCGGCCACAUUGGGACUGAGAUACGGCCCAGACUCCUACGGGAGGCAGCAGUGGGGAAUAUUGCACAAUGGGCGGAAGCCUGAUGCAGCAACGCCGCGUGCGGGAUGACGGCCUUCGGGUUGUAAACCGCUUUCGCCUGUGACGAAGCGUGAGUGACGGUAAUGGGUAAAGAAGCACCGGCUAACUACGUG